Molecule: non-coding RNA, 723 nt
Organism: Camellia sinensis
Lineage: Eukaryota; Viridiplantae; Streptophyta; Magnoliopsida; Ericales; Theaceae
Source: RefSeq, a predicted model, not a curated record
GUUUAAUUAAAGGCGUUUGUUAAACGUCACUUUUUUUUCAAAAUUAACGGCGUUUUUUAAACGUCGCAAUUGUUAUUAAUUAAAACGGUACCGUUUGGUGACUAGGAGACGUUUGAAAAGCGCCUCCAAAUCCUCUUCCCCUCAAACCCUAUCCCGUCUCUCCAAACCUUUAUUUUGAAAACCUAUUUUGAGCACCGCCGUCUACAUAUGAAGUUCGAAUCUCUCCCUCACUCUCUUUCUCUCAGGGGAUCAAAUCAAUAUGAAGCUGUUCUCUCUCGAUUCGGUGAUUCUUCUUUAGCUCGGUGAUUCGUCUUGUUGAGCACAGAGCGAUUGCGAUUUCGAAGUUCGAUUUUGAGCACCGUGAUUUGGAACUCUUCUUCAGAUCCGUGAUCUUCGUCUUCUUCGAUCAGAGUAAUUACACAAACAGAAAAUGGUAUAAAAGUACAUCAAAAUUAAUGAUCAGAUGGUUCUUAAAGCUUUCACAAAUUCCUGAAGUUACUGAGGUUCCAAGCUUCAGUGGGGAAGCACUGUCUUACUUGCAAGGAUUGAUUGAUGGAUUUACCAUAAGCGAUGCCUUGGAAGUUAAAAAUAUAGAGAAAGUGACAAACCAUGAUGUGAAAGCAGUGGAAUACUUCUUGAAACAGAAAUGCCAAUCACAUCCAGAGAUUGCGAAGGUUUGAACUUGUCCUCCAGUUUCUUCGAUACUAAAAUGACCAGCUUUAG